This 441-nucleotide ribosomal RNA is filed under the name uncultured bacterium. RNAcentral describes it as "partial 16S ribosomal RNA". It matches the Rfam family "Bacterial small subunit ribosomal RNA", at positions 338 to 795 of the family's 1533-position model. The record is from RNAcentral.
CCUACGGGAGGCAGCAGUGGGGAAUAUUGCACAAUGGGGGAAACCCUGAUGCAGCGACGCCGCGUGAGUGAAGAAGUAUUUCGGUAUGUAAAGCUCUAUCAGCAGGAACGAGACAAGACGGUACCUGACUAAGACGCCCCGGCUAACUACGUGCCAGCAGCCGCGGUAAUACGUAGGGGGCAAGCGUUAUCCGGAAUCACUGGGUGUAAAGGGAGCGUAGACGGCUGUGCAAGCCUGAAGUGAAAGGCGGGGGACCAACCCCUGGACUGCUUUGGGAACUGUACGGCUGGAGUGCAGGAGAGGUAAGUGGAAUUCCUAGUGUAGCGGUGAAAUGCGUAGAUAUUAGGAGGAACACCAGUGGCGAAGGCGGCUUACUGGACUGUAACUGACGUUGAGGCUCGAAAGCGUGGGGAGCAAACAGGAUUAGAUACCCCUGUAGUC